GAUAAACGCUGGCGGCGUGCAUAACACAUGCAAGUCGAACGAUGAAACUUAGAUGAUUUCUUCGGAAUGAACUUAAGUGGAUUAGUGGCGAACGGGUGAGUAACACGUGAGUAACCUGCCUUACACAAGGGGAUAGCCUCUGGAAACGGAGAAUAAUACCCUAUAAAGUCUAAUCAGCUCCUGCUGGAAAGACCAAAGAUUUAUCGGUGUAAGAUGGACUUGCGUCUGAUUAGCUAGUUGGUGAGAUAAAAGCUCACCAAGGCGACGAUCAGUAACCGGAUUGGGAGAGUGGUCCGGCAUCUUGGGACAGGGACACGGCCCAAACUCCUACGGGAGGCAGCAGUGGGGAAUGUUGCACAAUGGGGGAAACCCUGAGGCCGCGACGCCGCGAGAUUUAGAAGGCCUGCGGGUUGUAAAAAUCUUUUUUACGGGAUGAAAAUGACAGUACCGUAAGAAUAAGGUCCGGCUAAAUACGUG
RNAcentral lists this ribosomal RNA (477 nucleotides) under uncultured bacterium. RNAcentral describes it as "partial 16S ribosomal RNA". It matches the Rfam family "Bacterial small subunit ribosomal RNA", at positions 28 to 507 of the family's 1533-position model. The record is from RNAcentral.